Molecule: non-coding RNA, 165 nt
Filed under: uncultured Fusobacterium sp.
Lineage: Bacteria; Fusobacteriati; Fusobacteriota; Fusobacteriia; Fusobacteriales; Fusobacteriaceae
Description: Lysine riboswitch
Rfam family: Lysine riboswitch aptamer
About the family: Riboswitches are metabolite binding domains within certain messenger RNAs that serve as precision sensors for their corresponding targets.
Source: RNAcentral
GAUUGAGGAGCAAAUGACAAAAGUAAUUAUGUUGAGUUACCUAACUUUGAGAUAUAAUGAAAGGGGAUUUUGCCGAAAUCUAAAAAUUAUAGGGAGGAUUUUUAGGUUGGGAAUAUGGAGAAUAUCCAUAUAACUGUCAUUGAUAUUCAAUGUUGUGCUUUCUGU